Molecule: long non-coding RNA, 7665 nt
Filed under: Durio zibethinus
Lineage: Eukaryota; Viridiplantae; Streptophyta; Magnoliopsida; Malvales; Malvaceae
Description: long non-coding RNA (DZIB_LNC000361)
Source: RNAcentral
GUUCUGGGAACCAUUUCAUUUAAGAUUGUGCGGAUUAGCAUGACCAUGGCUGAGAUAGAGGCAUAAGCGGAGAGAAGAACGGAAAAAGAAGGUAGCUCUUUCAACAGGGUAGCCAUUCCUGCGUUUUACUUGUUCUGCUCUCUUGAAAACAAGAGAGAAACAGUGAAGGCUGAAAGCAAGAGGAAAAGAGGAAAAGGUUCAAGUACGUAGCCGACUGAAGGCUAAGUAACACUAAGUACUCCUUAUAUAGCAAAAAAGCAUUUUGUAUGAAAAUGAAAAGUCUUCAUCGUGUCCAUAUUCAAUAGCAAUACAGUCACGAGUCAUGACUAAUCGCAUCAGGGACGAAGGACCUGGAAAAGAUACAAUGAGAACUGCUGGACUUAACCUGGCACACUGGCCCAUAGUAUUAAGAUCAACAGCUUCCAGGAAACUAUAAAAAAGGGGGAAAACGUCAAGUCGGCGACUUUUAUCUUCUAAAUACUUUGUUUGAAUAUUAUGUAUAUGUAAAUGUAAUAAGAUCAUAUCAUUUGUGCAAAAAAGUUCAAAAUCAAAUUGCUUCAUAGUUAAUUUCCUGGGCUCGUCUUACUUGGUUUUGCUGAAACAAAACUUUAAUACAGGUCCAUGGCUCUUUUUACAUGGAUCCACCGUCAUCGGCUGCUUUUCUUUGUUACUUUAGAGCCACAUAUUAGGGAAUAUUUCUUCGCUAAUCCAAACAAACAUGUCAAAAUUAGCAACUGGCUAGUGGUGAGGAAAUCAGCGUGCUUCACCUCAGAGUCUUGUCAUGAUUUUAUUUAGACAAGAAGAUAAAGAAUCGUUGUGUCGCCGACGUGCCACCUUGCUGCGCAAGUAGUUCGUGGGACCCUUUGUCGCUGACGAUCAGUUCGCUUCUUCCAAUCCUUUUUCGACUGACUCAAGGAAAACGACAAGCAGGAAGGGAAAUGGAGAAAUGCAUAACAAUUACUCAGUUUUAAAACAUGCCAGUUCGUGUAUUAGCGUAUCUAUUAAAAUAAUUGAAACUGUCUUGUAAUUAUUUCAAUCUCCGAUUUGUUAUACAUCUCUUUGAUUUCUUAAAAUAAAUUAAAGAAUAAAUUUGGAUUAUAAAAAAAUUGUAAAGAAUAAUAAGAGAGACUUUGGAAUUGAUUGAUUGAGAUGGCAGUCGUUCAAACCAUCGACAUUUUUAUAAAAUUUCAUUUUAUUUUUAUUUUUUAAUCUCUUUUUUGACAAGUUGAUUGAGGUAGUGUGGUAGGUGAAACUAGAUCAAAGAGUCCAUCCAUAUUUUUCUUAUUUUUUUUAUUUUUUAAAAUUUAUUUUAUCAUGAUUUGUUUUUUAAUCACUCUCUCCUCUUUUCCCUACCAAAUCUGUUCCAUCCGCCCAUUGCUCAUUCCCUGUUUUGAGCCUCAUUGAUCAGCAGAUUUUUAGAUUUUAUAUAACAGAAGGUUGAUGCUAAUAGAAUUUCCCCCACGCAUACUAUUUGGGAUAAUCUUAUUAGCUGUUCAACUUGUUUGAACAAAAUAUAUAAUCCAAUUGUGCCGAUGAGAAGGAUAAAACUACUGUUAACAUUAUUUUUUUUCUUUUAUUGAAGAUUUGAAGUGGGAUUAAUUAUCAUUGUAUGCUUUUUCUAACAUUGGAAAUCAACAAAAUUAUUUAUUGAGAUUUUUUAUUUAUAAAUGGGAUAAAUUAUUUACUUAAGAAGAUAAUUUUAAUUUUAUAAUUCGAUAAUUUCAAUCAAACUUAUUUUACGAUAUGUUAAUUUCAUUGUCUGUUGAAUGUCUUUACAUGCAAUAAAAAAUACUUACACCAAUACAAUGAACUUCGUUCUACAAUUCUUUUGUAAUACAUAUGAUGAUAUUAAGUUCUUUUGUAAUACAUAUGAUGAUAUUAAGUUCAUUACGAAAAGACUCUAGAAGUCAAAGUGCUUUGACUUGCAAAAAAAAAAAAGGAUUUAUAAGUCUUUUUUUUUUUUUUGAGUACCAACUACCAAGUGGGUUUUUUUGUACUAUAAUUGCAAGUGUUGAUUUCUAUCAACAAAGAAAGAUGUGUUGUAGGCAACUGAACUCCACUUCAUUUGGGCCCAACAAUAAACUUGGCAUCCUUUUCGGCCUAAAAUAUGAUGAUUUUUGGUAUGACAUUAACAAGUUUAAGGUCAGGCCCCAAAACGGGUAAAAAAAUUUAAGGUAUGAGGUUCUCCAAAAGUAAAGAACUUUUUACAGCAUGACUAUGGGUUAGCUUUUUGGCCCAAUUAAAGCUUUUCAUGAUAAUGUUGGUUGCUCAGGUUAAUGGUUGCAAAGCAAGUUCCUAGAUUCAUUUACCAUAUGUGCACUCUGCACAGCGGCUAGACCCUUGGCCCAUCCAAACCUGCUCUCUCUUACACACACACACACACACACACACACACAUACAUGCACAUUCAUGCACGUUGGUAAUAAUGUUGCUCAAUUUCCACUUUUUUGUUCUUUACCUAAUUUUUAUUGUAUAACACUAUAACUUGUGACAAGAAAGACAUAUAAUACAGGAUUGUUCCAUUGUAUUUUGUAGAUAUCUUGUAUGAUUCAUGGUCCCCAGCCAUGACAGUUAGUUCUAUCUGUAUCAGCAUUCUCUCCAUGCUAUCGAGCUCAACUGUGAAGGUUUGAACUUUGAAUGUACAUUCAAUUGACUUUCUGGAGUGCUUUCUUAUUCCAGUAUGUCUUCAUGCCAUGCUUGUACCAUGCAUAGGGCACUACUGGGAGUGAGCACUACUGUUUUUGUAAAUAAUGGGGAUAUUGAUAUCGUAUUUUUGUUUCUUUAAGUCCAGAACUCUUUUUAAUACUUUUAGCCAUGCUUGCAGCAAUGUCCUGAAGACAACGAUCGCUAUGUAAAGAACUGUAGAAAUGGCCGGUCGCCCAAGCAGACCAGUUGGUGGUUCCAUGAUGACAAAGUUUAAUUGCAAGAGCAUCUCCCUGCAUCGAUUAGUCUAUAAGAGCUAGAGUAGACAAACUGCUUCCUCUUUUAAGGAAAACGGAAACAAAAGGAGAAAGCAUUUUCCCAAUCAAAGUUAAAUGCUUAAUAACUCCUGUAAAUGCCUAUGCUGGUAUUUGGUACGGAAAGAGAAAAGUCGGUCUUUCUUUGGCAAUGGUGUUUAACCUGUGCGAGAGAUGCUUGGUGCCCUGUAAGCACAUGAAUGAGAAACUCUCUUUCUGAAACUAUUUUCUGAACUUGAGUUUUAUAAUUAUAACUUGGCAGCAGAUGAGACUGAUGGAUCAUCCAAAGGCGAAACUUGAGUCUUGUUUUAGAGCGUUAUGUAUGCUGGAUCACUUUCAUUAAGUAACUGCAUUUUAUUUGAAAAAGAAAAAAGAAAAGGUAACGGUGGUUUUCAGUUACUUAGGUAACUCUGAUUGUGAUCAUGCAAACAUUUUCCACAAAUACAAUUAUGCAAAGUGGAACAGCAAAUACGCGGCUCCAGCCUCCAGUGAAUUUUUUUUAUUGUUUGUUUUCACAUUUUUUGAGAUUUAUCUUUGUUCCAGGGUACAAGCAUAUUGAUAGCAGCAAAGAAUCACUGAAAUUCUUGAAGGGAAAAUCGAUAGGAUAGCUUAUAAAAAGAAUCCAUCGUCAAAGUUUAGUUCUAGAACAGGUUGUGUAGAAUCAUCAAGAAAUCAUAGUAGUGAUUGAUUAUAAUGAAAACCUAAAUAUGAACUCGGCCGCGCCCGCAAAUCAAUGUCACCUGACUGUAAUCCUGGCAAUCAUACAUCAAUAUCAGCCAUGUAUGCCGGAUCACUUUCAUUAAGUAACUUUGAUUGUGACAUUUUAUUUGAAAAAGAAAAAAAAAAGGUAACGGUGGUUUCCAGUUACUUAGAUAAAUGUGAUUGUGAUCAUGCAAACAUUUUCCACAAAUACAAUUAUGCAAAGUGGAACAGCAAAUACACGGCUCCAGUCUCCAGUGAUUUUUUUUUAUUAUUUAUUUUCACAUUAUUUGAGAUUUAUCUUUGUUCCAGGGUACAAACUUAUUGAUAGCAGCAAAGAAUCACUGAAAUUCUUCAAGGGAAAAUCGAAAGGAUAGCUUAUAAAAAGAAUCUAUCGUCAAAAUUUAGUUCUGCAACAGGUUGUGUACAAUCAUCAAGAAAUCAUAGCGGUGAUUGAUUAUAAUGAAAACCUAAACAUGAACUCGGCCGUGCUUGCCAAUCAAUGUCAGCUGACUGUAAUCCUGGCAAUCAUACAUCAAUAUCAGUCAUUCUGCAUUUGAACAAACCAUUCACAAAUGCCUCGCACUUCUUCUUUGUCCCAUUUUCCUCAGAGGAGGUCUAGCAAAGUUAAAAACCAAAAAUAAUUCGUUAUCCAAAUUGCAUAAGAUAAUUUUUAACAAAUAUAGUAGAGCAGCAUCAAAUUAACAAUAUAAAUAUUGCCCACACAACUAAAUACUCAUGACUUCCGUUAAUAAUCACCUUCUUCCUCUUUUUCCAUGGUUGUCUCGACCAUGUUCUAACAGAGGUUGUAGCACACUUCUGCUUCGUUCAUGGGUUCCUAAAUCAUUCACCAACCCUUUGUUCAUGUACGUAUACUCUUGUAUGUUUCUUCAAUUGCCUGAAAUGAAUAAUGUGCCCCCAUCAUUUACCGAUGCAUAUCAUUCUAAUUUUGGUUUAACAUUGUCCAUUUAUUAGUCAUCAUCACUACAAAUGUUAGGUCGCCAAUACACUACCUCCCACUCUCUAAUUAAUAAAGAAUUCAGCUCAAGAGUAUCGACUAGGUCAGAAAUCUUAGUAGCAGACAAGAGAAGACAGAUUGAGAGGAAUUCAGCUAUAUAGUUUUCAAAUCGCAAUCUGAAAAGAAAAAUUAUCAUAUACACACAAAUAAUAGAGUCAUUCAACUUACAGAUGGGAUUUAUUCGAGUUUUUUAACUUUACAAAUGGAAUUUAUUUGUCCUUCAAGGUCCAAUACUGAUGCAUUUGAAUCGUUUGCUCAUGAGAAAGGUUGGCAAUGAGACGGAUGGUUUGUGAACUUGAUACUCUGACAUAUAUUAAUCUUAUCAUCCAUGACAGAGGGUUUUAUAAAGCCAUCAUAUUCUGAAGUUUGCAUCAAACAACAUUCUUUGUAUUGCAUUUUUCUAACAAAAUAAGUUGUUGUCAGAACAGCAGUGGGCCAGUGGCUAUGCAUGCUGUGACUAUAAUAUUUUCACCGCUUUCAAGUAGUCAAAGACAGUAUUUAUUUAGUAAAAUGAGUCAGAUGUAUAAACAAUAAAGCUGGAAUUCCAGUGCAGAAACCAGCCUGCAUGUAUGAGAACACAUCUCUUAUAAUACUCUGCCUGUUGUAUUUUAUCACAAUUUUGUAAGGAGCGCUUAUUACUAGUAACCUGCGCAUAUAAGUUACAAACAAGGCUAUAUUGUCUAAACUAGUUUAUUAAAGUUAUCUAAUUGAUUCCAGGGAGCUUCGUCUUGAUCUUCUCAAGUAUUCCUUUCUUCUCAUGGUGCUGGGGCAUUCUUUUCAUCUUCUGUUGUUGCCUUUGUUCAGCUGUUGGGGCAGCGGGAGAUUUGUCUUUUAUAAUCAUGUCGCCUUCCUCAGUCUGCACAUGGAAUUAAUAUUCACAUAUUAAAACGUUUAUCUCAAGAAAUUAAUCAGAAAUAUAAUCUCUAUGGUAUGAUGCUUAUAUAUUUCUUAUGAUCAAAGUUCUUUGAUUUGCCAUAAUUAGAUCAUACUCCAUUCCAACAACCCAGCUAACUUCUUAUUGCAUGUGAUGUGAUCUGAUCUGUGAAGCAUAAAUCUUGAGUGUUAUAGUUUUGGCUGUGGGCAUAUUGAAAAAGUUACAUAUAAAUCACUUGCCAUGAAGCAACAGAAUAUGGUUUCUACCCAAGAUUUUUAGCAGCUAAUAAGUUCCCCGACCAGCUAAACUAAGUCAAAUAUAUGCAUCUUGUUUCAGACUCAGUAGGCUUUGAAUUUUGUCUUUCAACUACCUUUUCCUCCUUUUCAACUACACCCUCUUCUGUCUUCUUCUUCUUCACGUUGAGAAAGUCUAUGAGACCUUCGAGUGCAGUUUUAGGGUCAUCACUGAUCAUAAGUUGUUGUGCAACUUCAGCUGGAGUAACUUCAAUACUUUCAAUGAGUUCAUCAAUGCAGCCGAAUAGUUUGGCUUCUUUGAUUCCAGCUUCUUUGAUUCCAAGAUAUGUAGUUGAAAGUUUUCUGAAUGCUGCUGGAGUACAAUAUCCCAUGUAAAUAUGCACAUCCAUACGCCCUGGCCGUAGCAGAGCUGGGUCUAACAUUUCUUUGUGAUUUGUGGUAAAGAUUAUGAUUCUUUCGUUUCCACAACUCGACCACAAUCCAUCAAUGAAAUUGAGUAAGCCUGACAGGGUUACCUACAAAAUUGUGGUAAAUUAGAGAUUUGAAAACUUUGACCGCUACAACCAAACCAAGAUAAGUAAAGACUAAAGACAGGUGUAAAGGAAAUAACAAUCAACAAAUGAAUUACCCCAGGAUCGAUAGCAGAAGGACUUUUGGGUUCAUCAUCUUCUUCAUCCUCAGGUUUUUCUUUGACCUGGGCACGACCACGUGAUACAUUUGUGCUACAAUCUAUGUCCUCGAUGAGCAGAAUGGACCGGUUGGUGGUGGAUGUGAGUAUACGUCUAAGAUCAGCAUCGUUUCGAACAAUUUGAAACUGAAGAUCAUAUAUAUCAUAACUCAAGUAAUUUGCAAUUGCAGCAACGAGUGAUGAUUUUCCUGUCCCUGGAGGACCAUACAAAAGGUACCCACGUUUCCAAGCCCUGCCAACAUUUUCGAAAAAUUCCUUGCGUUUCCCAAAUGAAUCAAGAUCACCCAUUAUGAAUUGCUUAAGCUUUGGCUCGAUUGCCAGUGUCUCAAAUUUUGCUGGGUGCUUGAAAACUGCGGACUCCCACAUGGAGCAGUCUUGGUCAUAUGUGUAAAUGCUGAGGCUCUCACGCUUGUUCAGAAUUACUUGUGCUUCUUUGCUAAUGUAGGUGAAGUACCUUUGCUCAACUCUUUCUCUAGCGCUUUUCUUACAGGUCACGGCGAAGUAUCUCUUAUUGGGAACGUAGCACUUUUUGGUUUCAAUUGAAGAGAAAGUCCACUCCAAGCGUAUCCCCUCAAAAUCAUCCAUGAUCGUGCAAUUUACAGGGAUGCUUCGUUUGGGUGGUGCUGUGGGUUCAUUGGAGUCGUUGAAACCUACAAGUAGACUGUCGCUGGAAGGGCCAAUUCUGGUUGGCAAGUAGACCUCAGCAGCCCGAAACAGUUGGUUAUCAGAAGCUUGCCAGCGGUCUUCGAUAAAGAAGGUGAACUCUGAAGAGAAGUAAGUGGAUGUCAGCUCGGAAAAUUUUGAGGCAAUGUAGUCUCUCAUCCGUUCUGGAACCAUUUCAUUUAAGAUUGUGCGGAUUAGCAUGACCAUGGCUGAGAUAGAGGCAUAAGCGGAGAGAAGAACGGAAAAAGAAGGUAGCUCUUUCAACAGGGUAGCCAUUCCUGCGUUUUACUUGUUCUGCUCUUGAAAACAGAGAGAAACAGUGAAGGCUGAAAGCAAGAGGAAAAGAGGAAAAGGUUCAAGUACGUAGCCGACUGAAGGCUAAGUAACACUAAGUACUCCUUAUAUAGCAAAAAAGCAUUGUGUAUGAAAAUGAAAAGUCUUCGUCGUGUCCAUAUUCAAUAGCAAUACAGUCACGAGUCAUGACUAGUCCCAUCAGGGACGAAGGAGCCUGC